CACCCGAUACCCGCUUUUUUAUGAGGGGACUUCCAAGAAGCAUCUGCAACGCAGUAGGAAGGAAGCUUGGUCUUGAGGGAGGAUGUCAUUGAUGGAAAGCGAAUGGGUUAGUUGAGUGAAAGGCUUGGCAGGUUCAUUGUGUAGUAAGGCUUCAUUCCAAAGGUUUAAAUCCAUAAUAGCUACCUUGAUAACCUGCACAAGAUGAUCUCUAUUGUUU
This 217-nucleotide long non-coding RNA is filed under the name Brassica napus (rape). Its description in RNAcentral is "long non-coding RNA (BNAP_LNC008884)". The record is from RNAcentral. Lineage: Eukaryota; Viridiplantae; Streptophyta; Magnoliopsida; Brassicales; Brassicaceae.